This is a long non-coding RNA of Lytechinus variegatus (green sea urchin), 620 nucleotides long. RefSeq lists it as uncharacterized. The transcript is spliced from 2 exons. Lineage: Eukaryota; Metazoa; Echinodermata; Echinoidea; Temnopleuroida; Toxopneustidae. The record is from RefSeq and is a predicted model, not a curated record.
AUUUAUAAAAAUCAAUUUAUUAUUCACUGAAUAUCUUCAUCAAAAAUUAAACUUCACAUUAUCAAAAUAUGACUAAAAUAAUAUACUGUAUAUUCUUUGAAUAAAUUCACCAUGAGUUUAGCAUUGUGAUGCAUGUUGCUACAAAGGCAAGAUAUUGAAUUUCAUAAUAAGAGUAGAAAUGAUUCUAUAGGCCUAUAUAAUUUGUUAAGGCCCCGUCUCACUGUUCUGUAAAAGCGUUGUGGUGAUUGCCCGCAACUCACCAACAAAAUGUUUUUUUUUAGCAUGUUCAAAACUGUUAUGCAUGCAAAUCAGAUUCAAUUUUGCGUGCGCUUCUGCGUGUGAGAUACUGUCAAUGCGGGCGACUUGCGGGCAACCUACUGGGAGCAAAAAAGUUACCAGCAAGUAACACACAAGGCUUGUACAGAACGAUGUGACAGGACCUUAAGGCCCAAAUUCACAAAGGGAUCUUGCUAAUCUUCGUAUCCAAUUUUAAAUCUUAAAAACAAAUACAACCAUCAUAAGUUGUCUUCAUACAUUUCAGUAACACAUUAUCAAUGUUGUCAAUAAUGAAAUAGAUUCAAAGAAAAUUGCUUAUAAUAUUUCAAACAUAUACACAUGCA